Molecule: long non-coding RNA, 186 nt
Organism: Helianthus annuus (common sunflower)
Lineage: Eukaryota; Viridiplantae; Streptophyta; Magnoliopsida; Asterales; Asteraceae
Exons: 2
Source: RefSeq, a predicted model, not a curated record
UACAUCCUCCAAACCAACAAACCAUCUCACUUCUUGUACUCCCUCUCUUGAUCACAACCUUGAUCUCUCUCUCUCUCUCUCUCUCUCUCUCUCUCUAUCUCUCUCUCUCUCUCUCUCUCUCUUGUGACAAAAGCCACAAGUUUUAAGGAACUUGACAAGGAUAUUACAUCAAGAACACACUCAUAG